GCACCCCUGCGGUAUUCGAUAGCAGAUCGGGAUAUUCUUGAGCCGUAAACCAUCCCCUGGGAGCUGAUGUACGGCAUUGUGUGCAUGUCCGCUCGAACGGAAAGCCUGAUAUGCCUAUGACGCGCCCACCUUGAACCCCAGGUUCAAGACGAAGAUCGCAACGGUACAGGUGGGGGUGCC
Molecule: non-coding RNA, 180 nt
Filed under: Halobacteria archaeon
Lineage: Archaea; Methanobacteriati; Methanobacteriota; Halobacteria
Description: 6S RNA
Rfam family: 6S / SsrS RNA
About the family: E. coli 6S RNA was the first non coding RNA to be sequenced, but its function was unknown until recently. It consists of 184 nucleotides that fold into an extended hairpin structure with a large single-stranded internal bulge.
Source: RNAcentral